AGCUUCCCAGUUUCCAUCUGAAACAUGGGUAGUUUUUCAAAUUCUGUAUGUCCUCCCAGCCUUAUGUUCCUCUUUGGUUUGCUACCCGCCCCUAUUGAUUCUCGUGCCUUAAGCACAUGCACAUCCUUGCAAGUUCAAUGCAUUUUCCAUAAUGGUUAAUCAAGCUUGCAGUUAAUUUGGGCCCCAUGUAACUGCAGUUAUUUUUGGAUGAUAAUACUUGGGGCGUGAAACAGAUAAACAGUCAUGGCAGAGGGAACAGAAGUUGAGGAACGGGUGGAUCUUGACGAGGACAAUUACAUGGAAGAAAUAGAUGAUGAUGUUGAAGAUCAACUAGAUGAUGAUGAUGAUGAUGAUGGAGGAGAUGAUAAUGGAGAUGCACAUAAUGAAGAAAAUGUUGAAGAGGACUAUGAGGACUCUAAAAAUGGGGUUAGUCAGAAAGAUCGGUCGCCGGAAAUGGAUAGAAUUCAUGUCGAUACAGAGCCUCUGGAAGAUGAAGAAAAGCCCACUGCUUCUGUCAAUGAAGAGGAAAAAGAGAAGCAUGCUCAACU
This 548-nucleotide unclassified non-coding RNA is filed under the name Hevea brasiliensis (rubber tree). The record is from RNAcentral. Lineage: Eukaryota; Viridiplantae; Streptophyta; Magnoliopsida; Malpighiales; Euphorbiaceae.